GACGAACGCUGGCGGCGUGCUUAACACAUGCCAGUCGAACGGAAAGGCCCUGCUUUUGUGGGGUGCUCGAGUGGCGAACGGGUGAGUAACACGUGAGUAACCUGCCCUUGACUUUGGGAUAACUUCAGGAAACUGGGGCUAAUACCGGAUAGGAGCUCCUGCUGCAUGGUGAGGGUUGGAAAGUUUCGGCGGUUGGGGAUGGACUCGCGGCUUAUCAGCUUGUUGGUGGGGUAGUGGCUUACCAAGGCUUUGACGGGUAGCCGGCCUGAGAGGGUGACCGGCCACAUUGGGACUGAGAUACGGCCCAGACUCCUACGGGAGGCAGCAGCGGGGAAUAUUGCACAAUGGGCGGAAGCCUGAUGCAGCAACGCCGCGUGCGGGAUGACGGCCUUCGGGUUGUAAACCGCUUUCGCCUGUGACGAAGCGUGAGUGACGGUAAUGGGUAAAGAAGCACCGGCUAACUACGUG
Molecule: ribosomal RNA, 468 nt
Filed under: uncultured bacterium
Lineage: Bacteria
Description: partial 16S ribosomal RNA
Rfam family: Bacterial small subunit ribosomal RNA
Source: RNAcentral